Molecule: long non-coding RNA, 317 nt
Filed under: Prunus persica (peach)
Lineage: Eukaryota; Viridiplantae; Streptophyta; Magnoliopsida; Rosales; Rosaceae
Description: long non-coding RNA (PPER_LNC008156)
Source: RNAcentral
GCGGCUUUACCCCUGGCUCACCUAAUUUAUUCACUACUAUUCUUAUUUUGAAACCCAAUCACAAAUGGCUCUUAUAAAAACUCCCUAUUGACAGCCUAUUGCCCAUCUUUCACUUUUGUUUAGUCGUUAUGAGCUCUCUCAAAUCCUCUUUCACAAUUUCUCAAUCUCACUCACUCAGCCCUCCUCUCCUCUCUUCUCUCUUUCUUGCUCACACCCACAUCGACAACAGUCACUGUCACCUCCUCAGAAACCCUAACCCACAUCGGCGACGACGACCUUUCCACCUCUGUCUCUCACUCUCCAUCACCUCUUUCGAC